AAAAGGCAAUGAAAUAAUAAAUGGC
This 25-nucleotide small nuclear RNA is filed under the name Staphylococcus aureus. RNAcentral describes it as "SAUSA300s287". Lineage: Bacteria; Bacillati; Bacillota; Bacilli; Caryophanales; Staphylococcaceae. RNAcentral also lists the same sequence under 1 other name. The record is from RNAcentral.